RNAcentral lists this unclassified non-coding RNA (839 nucleotides) under Hevea brasiliensis (rubber tree). Lineage: Eukaryota; Viridiplantae; Streptophyta; Magnoliopsida; Malpighiales; Euphorbiaceae. The record is from RNAcentral.
GGAAUCCGCUGCUUUCCCCCCGUAAGUCUUAAUUCUAUCUGCUGUUGACAAUCAAUUUAGUGUCUUUUGUUUAUUUUAAUUAAUGUGUCCUAAAGCUUAUUUGAUUUUGUUUUUAGCUUUUAAUUUUAUGUGUAGUCAUGGAAUUCUAAAUUUUAGCUGGUUUUUUCAUGACUGAGCAUCUUUGCAUUAUAGUGCUUCUGAAUUAGAAGAAACCCUUUUAGAGGGAAAUGGAAAUAAGUGAAGUGAGCAAGUGUUGCUGUGAUCAUUUGCUCAUCUUUUGCGUGGAUGCUUUUGGUGUAUGUCGUAUGCUUUUGAUUUAUGUUUAUAUCUCAUUUUAUCUGUCAUAAUGUAAUGGGGGUAACUGAGACAAAUGAAACAAAUUAAAAGGUUCAAGCGCAAAUUAAUGAAUGCUUCAGCACUGUGUAAAUAAGUGGGAUAUAAAUGCUUGGUUAAGUAGAAUCCAUGAUUGCUAUAAAAGCAGGCAGACUAUGGUUCAGGGUAGAAUGUUUAGUUAAAUUAACCAUGUGAAGAAAAAAGAGGUUCAAGAUUUACUGCAGGCAUAUAGCUUAACCAGUUAAAGAAAUGUGAACUAUGGACUUGGUUCAAGUAACUUAAUAGUUUAGAGGCGGCUAGAACUUCUAUGCAGUAGUGCUAUAUGAAAGCUCACCAGGUCUCCCAAGAAAACAGAUGCUAUGCAAACAAAUGGACAGAUAGCUGGCAUUGCCAUCAUUGCACCCAUCUUCAUGUUGUGUGCCAUUUGUUUAUCAAAGAACUAAACACCCUCUUUAUUUAUUAGGUACCUUCUUCUUCACAAAGGUAGUUUUCUUUUUUUCUUUUUU